GCCAGUGUUGCUCAGUGGUUAGAGCGUCGACCUAGGAGCCAGGAGGUCCCGGGUUUGAUUCCCGGACAAGGGCA
Myotis davidii is the source of this 74-nucleotide non-coding RNA. The record is from Rfam. Lineage: Eukaryota; Metazoa; Chordata; Mammalia; Chiroptera; Vespertilionidae.